CAUUAAGAAGCUUCUACAGCACUAGCCUUUUAAGCUAGGGAGGGAGACUCACCCUCUCCCUUAAUGA
Molecule: transfer RNA, 67 nt
Filed under: Tropidophorus hangnam
Lineage: Eukaryota; Metazoa; Chordata; Lepidosauria; Squamata; Scincidae
Description: tRNA-Lys
Source: RNAcentral